UCAAUUCAUGUAUUCGUAGAUCAAUUCAAGUAUUAUUCACUCUCAGUCUUGCUCUCUCUCUCUCUCUCUCUCUAAACCCUUGAUUUCACUCUCUCUCGCUUCAAACCCCUUCGUUUCAAAGACAACCCUUCAUAUUUGUAGAACCGUAGCUGAACCCCUUCGUAUUUGCAGAUCGAUUCAAGUAUUCAUAGAUCGAUUCAAGCCUCUUCUCUAGUUCGUGUUCGCAUUCGCAGCUCUUUCUUCAUAAUAAAGAGGGUGGACUUAGCAUGGUCAGUUCUUCACCGAAGGCCACAUCAAAGGAGAUGGAAGGGAAUGCCUUGAUUGGGGUUGACAAGUUGCCUAAGAAGAUAUACAAGACUUUGGAUGAAUCUACCAAAAUCCUAAGAUUUAAAGUUCCAUUCUCCAUGUUUGCAUACCCUAUAUAUUUGGUGAGAAUCUGUCUAUUUAGUUGUUUAUGACACUAGCCUCUUUGUGUUUUUGUUUUCUCUGUUCUGUUCUCAUGUUCUGGAUAAACUGGUUUGGCGAAUUGUUUCACAAAAAUUCUCAGAAACUAAUUUCGCUAAAAAAUGAAAAUGAUGAGUAUUUUCAAACUUUCCAUUAUUUCUUCCAAAAACAAGAAAAACAAGAACCGGAAACAAAAACACAACCAAACAGGAUUUCUUGGGAGCUAGUUUUGCUGACUUGAUGGUGUUCCCUACAUGGUAAGUCAAAUACAUUCCAUUCUCAAAGUGUUCCUAGAAUUUCAUUUGAUAAAAAGAACGAAUUUCAAAUGCUCCAAAUACUUUAAUUCCAUUUGAUUCAAUCUUGUUGCACAUUUAUCACAGAUUGAUUGCAUUUGAAACAGUGCAUUUAUAGAAUUGUUGUUGUCGUCGUCGUCGUCGUCGUCUCUACGUCUGCUCGAGUUGAAUUUCAGAUCCUCUACUUUUGAAAAUAUAUAUGUACAUAUUUUAUCAUGGUAGCUAGUCAUGGAUUGACAUUGCCACAUUGACUUUUUCUCUUUUUCCAUUGAUGAUGGUGACAUAUAGAGCUAUAGUCAUACCAGAGAAAAAUGAUGGAAAUUUGAGUAACUCAAUUGUUAUCAUGCAUAUAU
Camellia sinensis is the source of this 1090-nucleotide non-coding RNA. The record is from RefSeq and is a predicted model, not a curated record. NCBI's taxonomy places the organism in Eukaryota, Viridiplantae, Streptophyta, Magnoliopsida, Ericales, Theaceae.